RNAcentral lists this ribosomal RNA (460 nucleotides) under uncultured bacterium. RNAcentral describes it as "partial 16S ribosomal RNA". It matches the Rfam family "Bacterial small subunit ribosomal RNA", at positions 338 to 795 of the family's 1533-position model. The record is from RNAcentral.
CCUACGGGCGGCAGCAGUGAGGAAUAUUGGUCAAUGGACGAGAGUCUGAACCAGCCAAGUAGCGUGAAGGAUGACUGCCCUAUGGGUUGUAAACUUCUUUUAUAUGGGAAUAAAACGUUCCACGUGUGGGAUUUUGUAUGUACCAUAUGAAUAAGGAUCGGCUAACUCCGUGCCAGCAGCCGCGGUAAUACGGAGGAUUCGAGCGUUAUCCGGAUUUAUUGGGUUUAAAGGGAGCGUAGGUGGAUUGUUAAGUCAGUUGUGAAAGUUUGCGGCUCAACCGUAAAAUUGCAGUUGAAACUGGCAGUCUUGAGUACAGUAGAGGUGAGCGGAAUUCGAGGUGUAGCGGUGAAAUGCUUAGAUAUCACGAAGAACUCCGAUUGCGAAGGCAGUUCACUGGACUGCAACUGACACUGAGGCUCGAAAGUGUGGGUAUCAAACAGGAUUAGAUACCCGAGUAGUC